GAGGAAUAUUGGUCAAUGGGGGGAACCCUGAACCAGCCAUCCCGCGUGCAGGAAGACAGUUCUAUGGAUUGUAAACUGCUUUUCUUGGGGAAGAAUAAUGACGACGUGUCGUCAGAUGACGGUACCCGAGGAAUAAGCAUCGGCUAACUCCGUGCCAGCAGCCGCGGUAAUACGGAGGAUGCAAGCGUUAUCCGGAUUUAUUAGGUUUAAAGGGUGUGUAGGCGGAUGUAUAAGUCAGUGGUGAAAGUCAGCAGCUUAACUGUAGAAUUGCCAUUGAUACUGUAUGUCUUGAGUGUGGUUGAGGUAUGCGGAAUGUGUAAUGUAGCGGUGAAAUGCAUAGAUAUUACACAGAACACCGAUUGCGAAGGCAGCAUGCUAAGCCACAACUGACGCUGAUGCACGAAAGCGUGGGGAUCAAAC
Molecule: ribosomal RNA, 420 nt
Filed under: uncultured bacterium
Lineage: Bacteria
Description: bacterial SSU rRNA
Rfam family: Bacterial small subunit ribosomal RNA
Source: RNAcentral